Non-coding RNA from Pimephales promelas (fathead minnow), 395 nucleotides. Lineage: Eukaryota; Metazoa; Chordata; Actinopteri; Cypriniformes; Leuciscidae. The record is from RefSeq and is a predicted model, not a curated record.
UCUUCAGUUGUGUUCCCCGUGUCUUGUGGGGUUGGAAUGACAUGAGGAUUACUUCCAAAAUCGUGUUUCCACAUCUGAGAUGAAGGCAGUGAAAAGAACGAAGUGGAAUGAGAAUAAGCUCUUCAAAAAACACAACUUCUCUGAAUAAUGUGGGGGAAGAUGUAUGCAUGAUUUGUAAAUAAACACUUUAAAUACAUUGUCUAACUCUCAGCCUGUUAUUUGAAAUAAAAUAAAAAGUAAAAUCACAUUAUUUGUUGCAUUGCAGUUUGAGACAUUCCCUGUUUUGUACCUUAAUUCAUUAUUGCAGAUGUGUGAAAACUUAUUUGGGAUAUUCUGGUUGUAUUUCAAUGGUAUUGUACAGCAUUUUAUUUGUAUUGCAUUUCAGUAGUAUUGUA